GCAACAAAUAUGAGUUUUAAUAGCCCAUUUUAAACGAACUAUUGAAAAGAAAAAAAAAGUGUGAAAUAGAAAAUCCCACCAAAUAUUUUCCCAUUUUUGGAGCCCUUAAUUUUCAUGAGAAUUUUCUCUCUCACGUCUUUUGAUCUGUACGUGAUACCCACCCCAAAACCCCUUCUUAAAUCGAAGUUGACACACAUUCAUCUUUGUUCAUCGUCGUUGUCUUUGUCUAUCAUCUCUCUAUUCAUCGUCACUUUCAUCACACGAUUUUGAAAGGAUAUUCUAUUUCUCGACUUCAAUCUCCUCAGACUUGCGAUCUUUUGGCUUCAUCUGAUCUCUCACCGUCGUCCACGUGGGUUUCGCUUAGGGUUCUUCGUCUACCAGCUCGUCUCUCUACUGCUAUUAGACACUUGAAACUAAUGAUUGGAGAUCUUAAGUUCCGCAUCCUUUACUGACCUCCGUUUGUCUCCGGCGACCUCUAUUGAGUCUCUUUGCAUCAACAACAUGGGUUGUAUUGUGAUACAAGAAGAGUCAAGACAAUAUUAGCAAAGUGAUGCCCUACAUUUGAGCCAUGGAUGGUGUGAUCAAGAGAUUUGAGAGAGAUCAUAGGUUAUUAAAAAAGAUGCUAUGCACUUUUAUUGACCAUCCUAAUCCGUUUGCUAUUAGGAAGACAUGAUGUUAUUAAGAAGAAAUAUAAAGGAUUCUUUGCCUCCUUUUGUUCCUAUCAACCUUGUCAAUAUUAGGAAGACAUAAUUAUUGAGAGGGGGUCAUUCUAGUCCUAUUUGGAAGACGUGAUAGAUUUAUUAAAUAUUAUAGUGUAGAACGUGUUUGAGAUGGCUACCCUAUUACAUUUGAGUGUGCCUUUUGUGUUUGGGUUGAAGAUUACUAUAACUACAUGGUAGCCAUGGACAGGAGAACAUGUCUCUUUGUACCAAGCGACUUAGUUCGAUAUCACUUAAAAAUAUUAUCAUUAUGACCUAGAAAAGCGAUGCAAUGACUAAAUGAUAACAUGUUGCAAA
This is a long non-coding RNA of Cucumis sativus (cucumber), 1016 nucleotides long. RefSeq lists it as uncharacterized. The record is from RefSeq and is a predicted model, not a curated record. NCBI's taxonomy places the organism in Eukaryota, Viridiplantae, Streptophyta, Magnoliopsida, Cucurbitales, Cucurbitaceae. The transcript has 3 exons.